This 72-nucleotide transfer RNA is filed under the name Neopusillimonas aestuarii. RNAcentral describes it as "Pusillimonas sp. DMV24BSW_D tRNA". It matches the Rfam family "tRNA". From Rfam's summary of the family: Transfer RNA (tRNA) molecules are approximately 80 nucleotides in length. Their secondary structure includes four short double-helical elements and three loops (D, anti-codon, and T loops). The record is from Rfam by way of RNAcentral. Lineage: Bacteria; Pseudomonadati; Pseudomonadota; Betaproteobacteria; Burkholderiales; Alcaligenaceae.
GCCCCUGUAGUUAAAUGGAUAUAACGUUCCCCUCCUAAGGGAAUAUUACAGGUUCGAUUCCUGUCGGGGGCG